UACGUAGGGUGCAAGCGUUGUCCGGAAUUAUUGGGCGUAAAGAGCUCGUAGGCGGUCUGUUGCGUCCGCUGUGAAAACUCGGGGCUUAACCCCGAGCCUGCAGUGGAUACGGGCAGACUAGAGGUAGGUAGGGGAGAAUGGAAUUCCUGGUGUAGCGGUGAAAUGCGCAGAUAUCAGGAAGAACACCUAUGGCGAAGGCAGCUCUCUGGGACGGUACUGACGCUGAGACGCGAAAGCGUGGGGAGCGAACAGG
Molecule: ribosomal RNA, 253 nt
Filed under: uncultured bacterium
Lineage: Bacteria
Description: partial 16S ribosomal RNA
Rfam family: Bacterial small subunit ribosomal RNA
Source: RNAcentral